AUGAGGUGGCGCACGGGGAAGAAGAGAUAUGAGUGCUGGGGUGGGGGUGGCGGGAGGAAUCAACCUCCCCAAUACAGAAAUUUCGCCGGGGCCUCACGAGAAGGCCGAAAAAACGCCUCUUGGGGCACAACGGCUGAAGAUGCUCUUAGGACCUCCGGUGCAUUUAACUCAAAACUUAUUCACGAAGGGAUCCAACCGAGCCCGUUACUUAGUCACCUUUUUUAUUACCAGAUUCAUAGAAAACUAGAAGAGCUCGAGGACCCUGUCCGUAAUCCCUCUACAGCUUCUGCCCAAAGACAGCAGAGAUGGAUCCCGCCGCCGUUGGGCUACGUCAAGAUAAAUGUUGAUGCAGGUGCAUUCAUUGAUCAUAAAAGGGGGGCAACAGCUGCAAUCUGUAGCAUUCUUUGCUAA
RNAcentral lists this ribosomal RNA (411 nucleotides) under Triticum aestivum (bread wheat). RNAcentral describes it as "partial small subunit ribosomal RNA". The record is from RNAcentral. Lineage: Eukaryota; Viridiplantae; Streptophyta; Magnoliopsida; Poales; Poaceae.